CAGCACCCCGAGUUGUCGGGACGAUUAUUGGGCCUAAAGCAUCCGUAGCCUGUUCUGCAAGUCCUCCGUUAAAUCCACCCGCUUAACGGAUGGGCUGCGGGGGAUACUGCAGAGCUAGGAGGCGGGAGAGGCAAACGGUACUCAGUGGGUAGGGGUAAAAUCCAUUGAUCUACUGAAGACCACCAGUGGCGAAGGCGGUUUGCCAGAACGCGCUCGACGGUGAGGGAUGAAAGCUGGGGGAGCAAACCGGAUUAGAUACCCGGGUAGUCCCAGCUGUAAACGAUGCAGACUCGGUGAUGGGUUGGCCUCGAGCCAACCCAGUGCCGCAGGGAAGCCGUUAAGUCUGCCGCCUGGGGAGUACGGUCGCAAGACUGAA
This 376-nucleotide ribosomal RNA is filed under the name uncultured bacterium. Its description in RNAcentral is "bacterial SSU rRNA". It matches the Rfam family "Archaeal small subunit ribosomal RNA", at positions 477 to 853 of the family's 1478-position model. The record is from RNAcentral.